This 90-nucleotide transfer RNA is filed under the name Bacteriovoracaceae bacterium. RNAcentral describes it as "tRNA-Ser". It matches the Rfam family "tRNA". From Rfam's summary of the family: Transfer RNA (tRNA) molecules are approximately 80 nucleotides in length. Their secondary structure includes four short double-helical elements and three loops (D, anti-codon, and T loops). The record is from RNAcentral. Lineage: Bacteria; Pseudomonadati; Bdellovibrionota; Bacteriovoracia; Bacteriovoracales; Bacteriovoracaceae.
GGAGACGUGGGUGAGAGGCUUAAACCAGGUCCUUGCUAAGGAUCCGAACCUUUACCGGUUCCGAGAGUUCGAUUCUCUCCGUCUCCGCCA